RNAcentral lists this transfer RNA (77 nucleotides) under Candidatus Bathyarchaeota archaeon. RNAcentral's name for it is "tRNA-Phe". The record is from RNAcentral. Lineage: Archaea; Thermoproteati; Candidatus Bathyarchaeota.
GAGGUUGAGCCGGAUAGCUUGGUCUAGGAUACCAGCCUGAAGCGCUGGCGACCUGGGUUCAAAUCCCGGCGACCCCA